AUGCACGCUGGCGGCGUGCCUCAUCCCUGCAAGUCGCGCGAACAGACGAGGAGCUUGCUCCUCUGACGUUAGCGGCGGACGGGUGAGUAACACGUGGAUAACCUACCUAUAAGACUGGGAUAACUUCGGGAAACCGGAGCUAAUACCGGAUAAUAUAUUUAACCGCAUGGUUCAAUAGUGAAAGACGGUUUUGCUGUCACUUAUAGAUGGAUCCGCGCCGCAUUAGCUAGUUGGUAAGGUAACGGCUUACCAAGGCAACGAUGCGUAGCCGACCUGAGAGGGUGAUCGGCCACACUGGAACUGAGACACGGUCCAGACUCCUACGGGAGGCAGCAGUAGGGAAUCUUCCGCAAUGGGCGAAAGCCUGACGGAGCAACGCCGCGUGAGUGAUGAAGGUCUUCGGAUCGUAAAACUCUGUUAUUAGGGAAGAACAAAUGUGUAAGUAACUAUGCACGUCUUGACGGUACCUAAUCAGAAAGCCACGGCUAACUACGUG
This 496-nucleotide ribosomal RNA is filed under the name uncultured bacterium. RNAcentral describes it as "partial 16S ribosomal RNA". It matches the Rfam family "Bacterial small subunit ribosomal RNA", at positions 29 to 507 of the family's 1533-position model. The record is from RNAcentral.